AUUUUAAGUGUGGUGUUUUUCAUUGAUGCCUUUUAUUGAGUUGAGGAAUUUUCCUUCUAUGCCUAGUUUGUUGAGAGUUUU
This is a non-coding RNA of Ceratotherium simum simum (southern white rhinoceros), 81 nucleotides long. Lineage: Eukaryota; Metazoa; Chordata; Mammalia; Perissodactyla; Rhinocerotidae. The record is from RefSeq and is a predicted model, not a curated record.